Molecule: non-coding RNA, 846 nt
Organism: Danio rerio (zebrafish)
Lineage: Eukaryota; Metazoa; Chordata; Actinopteri; Cypriniformes; Danionidae
Source: RefSeq, a predicted model, not a curated record
UUUGUUCUUUAUUACUCUGGUCUUUAUGUUGUCCUCCAGCACAAUCUAGAACCCACAGAUGUUUGUGUCAGGGUGUUGGAGUCAACAUCGUGAAGCCAAGGCUGAUUUUGAAGAUUGACAUUUUCCAUCCAAAUCCACUUUGUACACGUUUGGAAGUUAAGUACAGUACAUUAAUUAUUCUUUUUAAUUAAUAGUUUUAAAUUUAGGAUGUCUGUGAGUAUUCCUUUGUAAUAACUCUAUGGUGUAUCUAAACAGUGUCACGCUAAAGAACGAAGCCGGACAAAAAUGUUUAAAUUUAGAGUCAAAGUUCAUCAAAAAGAUCUUGCAGAGAACUGCAAACAACACCAGGAGUGCUCAAUAAAAUGCAUAAAGAAGAGGAAAGCUGCAUUUUCAAAUGUCAAUAAUGUGCCCAGUUUGUACCUUGCUUUUAAAGGGAUUGUUCCCUCUUUAACUUUACUUUAAUCACCUCUAUAUGUUUUAAACCUUUGUUAAAAUACUUUGAGCUUUGUUUUUCUAUUGAAACAAACAAACAAACAAAAAUGUAUUUAAAAGAAUGUUGAAAAUAGUAGUCAUUAAUUUCUACUUUUUUUAAUGUGAAAGUCAGACUACUGGUUUCCAACAUUUUUUAAAAUAUCUUCACUGUGUUCAACCGAUAAAACUUAAAACUCAUAAAGGUUUAGAACCACUUGAGAGGGAGUAAAUGAUGAACAAAAUGUUAUGGGGUGAACUUUUAAAAGUUCCUUUGCGUUUUUAAAUUAUAUGACAAUGUAAUGUCUAACCGCUUAUUUAACAAAUGAUGUUAAUAUUAGUCAGUGGAAUGUGAAAUAAAAUCUAAAUGUCUAUGAA